Molecule: long non-coding RNA, 950 nt
Filed under: Vigna radiata
Lineage: Eukaryota; Viridiplantae; Streptophyta; Magnoliopsida; Fabales; Fabaceae
Description: long non-coding RNA (VRAD_LNC003450)
Source: RNAcentral
CAACAACUCCAUUCAUCCAUUGUUUUCUUCUUGUCAUUGGAAUCAAUCUCUUUUGCAUGUUCAUAGUUUAUUCUCUCACUCAAUUUAUUAAUUUUUAUUUUCAAGUCUUAUUAUUUUAAUUCACGCGAACGAUAAAGCCUUUUGAGUCUCUUGGGAAAACGAUACUUGGUCUUACCAUUUUUAUUACUUGAACGAUUUGGUACGCUUGCCAAUCCGUUAACAUGAUGAAAGCAAGAGAGACACCAACAUUGAAGAUGGAAUGUGAGCUUUAUUGGGUCUAGCUAAUGACGUUAAAAGAGCGCAUGUUGGGAGGCACCCCAGUGAUUUGAAAACAUUAGUUUUUUGAUUUUUUUUUUUUUAUUUUGGUGAUGUAAUUUUGAAUAGUUUGGAACACUAUUUAUUGGGUAACAUCUUCUCAGGGAUGCUAGAUGAUUGAGUAUCUACUGAAGGAUACCAGGAAGGUACACCUACUGAUGGGUGAUGGUAAGGUUUGCACCUACUGGUGGGUGCUAGAAAGAGUUUGGGUCAGACUCGUUACGUUAAACAAGUGCUACCUGGGCGACAAUCCAGUUGAUUGAUAUAUUUUUGUUUCUUGUUUUUAUUCUGUUCUAAGUUGUGUUUUAGGCGUUUGGUUGUUAAAUGUUUGAGUGGAGUGAGUGAAAAUUGCAUGAAAUUCGAAAUUUGAGAGUUGAAUUUGAGUGGCAUUUGGUCAAUGACGCUUAGGGCAAGCUAGGAAGAAGAAGACUUGAUCUCGCACAUACCGCUCAACGGUAACUAGCGUUGAGCGCCGACACUAUAGAUCAUAUUUGGGGUUUUAAAACUUUGGCCCCAGCGUGAGUUGCCUCAUUGCACACUUCACUUACCCUAGGUCUCGCCCUAACCUCUCCAUUCGACCCUCACUCAUUUUGACCACUCUUAAGCCCUCUCCAAAGCACUCUCUCCAUUUUUCC